This 2143-nucleotide long non-coding RNA is filed under the name Pan troglodytes (chimpanzee). RNAcentral's name for it is "long non-coding RNA NONPTRT005788". Lineage: Eukaryota; Metazoa; Chordata; Mammalia; Primates; Hominidae. The record is from RNAcentral.
UGUGUGUUCAACAGCGACACCAUGUGGCAGCGAGACCCAACAAGGAGACAGAAGCUGUUGGAAUGCAGGCCUCUUUCCCUGUGACAUUUGAAAGCAUCAACACAGUCUUCGCACGGGAGUCCAAUCUGCCAGAGAAGGGCAAAGCAAAUCGGGCCUUAUAUUAAAUUCCUGGAAGUCAAACUUCCUGGUCCAAUGAGGAACUUCUCAAGGGCCUUUGCUGGAGAAAGGAUGUUCAGCAAGAAUGAAGGACAGCUUCGUUCAGAUGGAUGAGCUUAGUGCAUCCUGAGCGGUGAGCUGACCGGGGCCCAGUUCUUCCUUCUACAUAUGGGGCCCAUCGCAUUCCCACUGACUCAGAUGCUGAGGGGCCAGACUGAAGGGACAGUGGCCAUUGCAUCAAGUCAGAGAACGGAUCUGACCCAUCUAGUAGAAGCUUAUUGUUUUGGCAGAAGCACAAGCUCUUAGAGGUGCAGCUGCAGGGUGUGACCUGUUGGGGACAUUGAGCUCAGUGACCAUGGGCCCUGAGAGUCUGAAAUCCUGGAAUUUCUCCCAAAACGAAGUCCAUGUAGGGAAGCCAAAGUGUGAGUCUUACCCGGCUGGUUUACAACUGACUGACAUUUGCUGCCUGGGCAGCUGCUGUGGGUGUCUGGAAACCCUACUGGACUAGGACUGGCCCCAGCAAAAAACAAGUGUUAUAGCUGCCCAGUGUCCUCUGAGUGGAUGCUGGUGAUUCUGGUAUGGAGCCCAGAUGUAAGGCAGCAGGUGGUCCAGAAGGCACCAGAAGAGGUCUCCUGUCAAAGUCAGGGCCAGAGAAGAAGGCACAGGGAACCUACUGCACGAGACUUUCACUUGCAACGAGCAACCCAUGAUGAGGAGGGAGGAUUCCUGGGGGCAUUGAGUCCCCCAGACACAAGGACCCAAGACCUUCUUGCUUGGAAAGUGAAUUACUCAGAAUUCCGAGAUGAUGCCAGUCUUGGAGGAAGAUGACAUGAGGACCCAAAACCUUCUUGCUUGGAAAGUGAAUUCCUGAGAAUUCCGAGAUGAUGCCAGUCUUGGAGAAAGAUGACAUGAGGACCCAAAACCUUCUUGCUUGGAAAGUGAAUUCCUGAGAAUUCCGAGAUGAUGCCAGUCUUGGAGGAAGAUGACAUGAGGACCCAAAACCUUCUUGCUUGGAAAGUGAAUUUCUCAGAACUCCACGAAGACUCCAGUCUUGGAGGAAGAUGACAUGAGGACCCAAAACCUUCUUGCUUGGAAAGUGAAUUCCUCAGAACUCCACGAAGACUCCAGUCUUGGAGGAAGACGAGGUGUUGAGAGAUAGCUGGGAUCCCUGAGGAAGGCAGCCCCAGUCUCCGGUGGAGAAUUAAGAGGGGCCCAAGCAGAUGGUUGGUGGUGGAAACGUCACCUCAGUAUAGUACUAUGGAGUUUCCUUUCACCCCCAACAGCUGGUGGUUUCCAGGGGUGAAGAGUGAAAAUUGAAGCAAGGUGUCUACUGUCCAGCUGUAGACAAGGAGGCAGUGCGCCUGCCAUCCCCAAGGAAGAGUCAGUUCAGAAGCACAGCAGCUGCUGGAAACCCAGGAGGUUUCCAGUUCGUUCCUGCUGGGACCUGGCAAGAACUGCACUGUCAAGGCUGCAAGAGGCUCCUGACGGCUUCUGACAUGUACGGAAUGGAAUAAGAGAACCUAGCAGAAAUGGAAGCAGAGGCAAGAGGUCUGGAGGCCAGGAAAAUGUCAAUGGAAAGCAGCUAGCAUGAAGACCCCACAGUGUUCCUCCCUCUAGUAGUCUGGUAUUAUUUGGAGCUGAGAUGCUCCCAAUAUGGUUGGGACAUUUGUCCCCUCCAAAUCUCAUGUGAGAAUUUGAUCCCCCGCUUUGGGGAUGGGGUCUAAUGGGAGGAGUUUGGGUCAUGAUGGGGGACCCCUCAUGAAUGGCUUUGUGCCCUGCUCACCAGGAAUGAAUGAGCUCUCACUCUACUAGUUCACUGGAGAGCUGGUUGUUUAAAGAGCCUGGCAUCUCCCCCACUUUCUCUCUUGCUCCCCCUUCUCACUGUGUGAUAUACCUGCUCCCCUUUGCCAUCCAUCAUGAGUGGAAGCUUCUUGAAGCCUCCACCUAAAGCAGAUGCCGACACUAUGCUUCCUGCACAGCCUGCCAU